UCACAAACCCAAGGCAUAGAAGGCCAGAGAGAAGACUUUGUCUGACCAGUUUGAGGCUAAGCGUGCUAAGAACAAGGAUAGCAGAGAAAGGAAGCAUGCUUGGAGGGAGGAGCGUUUGGAAGCGGGACCCGUCGAUAAAGUGGCAGCACCCACACCUGCACCUCAAGCAGCUACCGGGGCACCAAAGAAAUCCAAGAAAUGAGCAAACUGUUCAGAAGUAAUAUCAUUGAUCAGUACGUAGAACUAGCGUUUUAUUAUAAUAGUGAACUUUUUUUCUUGCGG
Molecule: long non-coding RNA, 282 nt
Organism: Papaver somniferum (opium poppy)
Lineage: Eukaryota; Viridiplantae; Streptophyta; Magnoliopsida; Ranunculales; Papaveraceae
Exons: 3
Source: RefSeq, a predicted model, not a curated record